GUGCUGACUGCUUAAUAUUGAAAAACUGUAUUGGUGACCCCUGUCUGAUAGUUUUGUAUUUGUUGCUAAUGUGAUUGAAUUUGACUGUUUUUAUGACAGCUCCUUUCCGCCUUUCACAUAAAUCAACAAUGAAAACAUCAUUGCGCAUGGAAAGCUGUAAAAGUCAUCUUGAUAACUAGCGAAACUAAUCGUCAGGAAAAAAAACC
Molecule: long non-coding RNA, 206 nt
Filed under: Mytilus galloprovincialis (Mediterranean mussel)
Lineage: Eukaryota; Metazoa; Mollusca; Bivalvia; Mytilida; Mytilidae
Source: RNAcentral